This 460-nucleotide ribosomal RNA is filed under the name uncultured bacterium. RNAcentral describes it as "partial 16S ribosomal RNA". It matches the Rfam family "Bacterial small subunit ribosomal RNA", at positions 338 to 795 of the family's 1533-position model. The record is from RNAcentral.
CCUACGGGUGGCAGCAGUGAGGAAUAUUGGUCAAUGGACGAGAGUCUGAACCAGCCAAGUAGCGUGAAGGAUGACUGCCCUAUGGGUUGUAAACUUCUUUUAUAUGGGAAUAAAAUGUUCCACGUGUGGGAUUUUGUAUGUACCAUAUGAAUAAGGAUCGGCUAACUCCGUGCCAGCAGCCGCGGUAAUACUGAGGAUCCGAGCGUUAUCCGGAUUUAUUGGGUUUAAAGGGAGCGUAGGUGGAUUGUUAAGUCAGUUGUGAAAGUUUGCGGCUCAACCGUAAAAUUGCAGUUGAAACUGGCAGUCUUGAGUACAGUAGAGGUGGGCGGAAUUCGUGGUGUAGCGGUGAAAUGCUUAGAUAUCACGAAGAACUCCGAUUGCGAAGGCAGUUCACUGGACUGCAACUGACACUGAGGCUCGAAAGUGUGGGUAUCAAACAGGAUUAGAUACCCUUGUAGUC